Molecule: small RNA, 942 nt
Filed under: Pongo abelii (Sumatran orangutan)
Lineage: Eukaryota; Metazoa; Chordata; Mammalia; Primates; Hominidae
Description: processed transcript
Source: RNAcentral
GGCUGCGGGCGCUCGCUGGUGGCGGACCCGGAGGCGGCUGCGGCGCCGGGGCUCCGUGGCCUGGAUUGAAUCCGAUCGGGAGCCAUGAGCGUGGACAAAGCUGAGCUAUGCGGGUCUCUGCUCACCUGGUUACAGACGUUCCACGUUCCGUCUCCCUGUGCCAGCCCUCAGGACCUGAGCAGCGGCCUUGCCGUAGCCUAUGUGCUAAACCAGAUGUGAGUGGAGCUGAGGGGGAGGAUCCCAAAAGUGUCCCCCAGUCUGCUCAUCCCACCUUCUCGCCCCCAGAGACCCCUCCUGGUUCAACGAGGCAUGGCUCCAGGGCAUCUCGGAAGAUCCAGGUCCCAACUGGAAGCUGAAGGUGACAAGUGGACUCCUGAUUAGAGGACAGACUGGUGAAGAGAUGACCAGGGACGGGCCAGCUAGGCACAUGUCCUGGGUGAUGGGCAGGAAGAGGGACAGAUGUCUGGUGAUCAACCAUUUGUUCAUCCAUUCAUCUAUGGAGUACUCACCCUGUGCCAGGCCUGGGCAUUCAGCAAGGAAUAACACAGACAAAAACCUGCCCCAUACAGCCAUCAUUCUAGUGACAAGCAACACAUACACAACCAUAAAAAAACUUCCAGGCAUGAGCCACCGCGCCUGGCCUUCUUUCUUUUCUUUUACCUGUCUGCUAUUGAAAGAUUUGUAUUCUAGAAAGAUCCCUGGCUGCUGGAUGGAGUGGUUGAGAGUAGAAGAAGCUAGCAAGGGAAGAUGGUGGCUGAACCAACUUGGGAGCUUUGGGAUGGGAAGAAGUGGACAGCAGGGGGCUGUUCCAGGGGACACCUGCUAAGGGUGCGGAGGGUUGUGGCUCUGAUAGCUGUGGAGCUGGUGGGACCAGGGCACACAGCCCCCAGGCAUGAGGGGCAGGCAGAGAGGGCUCUGUGGCCAUGUAGGGACACUUCUGGC